AGUUACAUUCUGCACCCAAACAUCAUUUAUAACCUUAAUAACAUCCUAAUAAUAAAACAUUUAUAGUCUUAAUACCAAUCACAAUAACAUCAUAUGAACUCAAACUGAUGUCAGGAUUCAAUCUUUCAGUGUGAACGUCUAAGACAGUUUACUAAACAAGACUCAAACAGCUCAGAGUCUCUGAAGAGCACAUUUAAACUCUCAUUAAUAUGCUGAUAUUAUCUGGGAAACAUUAUUUUCCAGACACUUAAACUCACAGCGCAGACAGAAAAAUAAAGCAGACGAUCAGGAGACGGAUUCAUUCGGAGUGAAUUCAGCCUCUGUGUUUGAUUCUGCUGAUCUCAAUCACAUUCAUGAUUAUUCAUACUGUCAUCAGUUCACAUCAGGAUUCAGAAACCAGUUCAGGAUCAAAUGAGUCACUAAUGGACUUUUAUUACAUUUGAUGAGCAGUUUACAAUAGAAAUAUUAAAGCACACAUAUUACUCUGUUUAUUAAAGAUUCAGAACAGUAUGAGAGUCUGGUCUAGAUUCAUAACUUCUGUAUGACGAUGAAAAACUGAUUAAAAAUGAAUAGAAAUGUAAUGAUGUGAGAUUUGAUGAGUUUGUGUGCAUGUGAACAUCAGAAAGAGUCUCUCUAUUGUUUAAUAUCACACAGAGACACUGAGGAAUAAUAUUCAACCCUAAACCCAGCGUAGAGGGGUUCAGUGAAUGUGGUGUUGAAUGUGUGUAAGUGUGUGAGUGUGUGUGUGUCAGAGACGCUGUAGAAGGACAGAGAGCCGGCCGACACGUCCACAUACACUCCUACUCUCUUACAGGAUGAAGAGACAGCAGGUAUAACAGUGCUGUUAUUAUUGUGCCAGACAGUGAAUCUGUAAUCAGAGCAGUUCAGACUCCAGGAUUUGUCAUUGUCUCCAAACACACAGUCUUUAAUCCCUCCUUUCCUGUUGAUUCCUUUAUAUGACACUGAUAUACCAG
Cyprinus carpio (common carp) is the source of this 974-nucleotide long non-coding RNA. Lineage: Eukaryota; Metazoa; Chordata; Actinopteri; Cypriniformes; Cyprinidae. The record is from Ensembl.